RNAcentral lists this ribosomal RNA (482 nucleotides) under uncultured bacterium. RNAcentral's name for it is "partial 16S ribosomal RNA". It matches the Rfam family "Bacterial small subunit ribosomal RNA", at positions 30 to 507 of the family's 1533-position model. The record is from RNAcentral.
AUUGAACGCUGGCGGCAUGCCUUACACAUGCAAGUCGAACGGUAACAGGUCUUCGGCUGCUGCCGAGUGGCGAACGGGUGAGUAAUACAUCGGAACGUGCCCGAUCGUGGGGGAUAACGAGGCGAAAGCUUUGCUAAUACCGCAUACGAUCUACGGCUGAAAGCGGGGGAUCUUCGGACCUCGCGCGGCCGGAGCGGCCGAUGUCAGAUUAGGUAGUUGGUGGGAUAAAGGCUUACCAAGCCGACGAUCUGUAGCUGGUCUGAGAGGAUGAUCAGCCACACUGGAACUGAGACACGGCCCAGACUCCUACGGGAGGCAGCAGUGGGGAAUUUUGGACAAUGGGCGAAAGCCUGAUCCAGCCAUGCCGCGUGCAGGAUGAAGGCCUUCGGGUUGUAAACUGCUUUUGUACGGAACGAAAAGCAUCAUUCUAAUAAAGAGGGGUCAUGACGGUACCGUAAGAAUAAGCACCGGCUAACUACGUG